Molecule: unclassified non-coding RNA, 345 nt
Filed under: soil metagenome
Description: partial contains 5.8S ribosomal RNA, internal transcribed spacer 2, and large subunit ribosomal RNA
Rfam family: 5.8S ribosomal RNA (bases 1-120)
Source: RNAcentral
GAUGAAGAACGCAGUGAAAUGCGAUACGUAAUGUGAAUUGCAGAAUUCAGUGAAUCAUCGAGUCUUUGAACGCACAUUGCGCCCCCUGGUAUUCCGGGGGGCAUGCCUGUCCGAGCGUCAUUACUGCCCUCAAGCACGGCUUGUGUGUUGGGCCUCCGUCCUCCUCCCGGGGGACGGGCCCGAAAGGCAGCGGCGGCACCGCGUCCGGUCCUCGAGCGUAUGGGGCUUCGUCACCCGCUCUUGUAGGCCCGGCCGGCGCUUGCCGACACAUCAAUCUUUUUUCCAGGUUGACCUCGGAUCAGGUAGGGAUACCCGCUGAACUUAAGCAUAUCAAUAAGCGGAGGA